CAGCCGCCACGGUAAUACAGAGGGUGCAAGCGUUAAUCGGAAUUACUGGGCGUAAAGCGCGCGUAGGUGGUUUGUUAAGUUGGAUGUGAAAUCCCCGGGCUCAACCUGGGAACUGCAUUCAAAACUGACUGACUAGAGUAUGGUAGAGGGUGGUGGAAUUUCCUGUGUAGCGGUGAAAUGCGUAGAUAUAGGAAGGAACACCAGUGGCGAAGGCGACCACCUGGACUAAUACUGACACUGAGGUGCGAAAGCGUGUGGAGCAAACAGGAUUAGAUACCCCGGUAGUCCCUGUCUCUUAUAC
RNAcentral lists this ribosomal RNA (301 nucleotides) under uncultured bacterium. RNAcentral's name for it is "partial 16S ribosomal RNA". It matches the Rfam family "Bacterial small subunit ribosomal RNA", at positions 509 to 807 of the family's 1533-position model. The record is from RNAcentral.